This 373-nucleotide ribosomal RNA is filed under the name Gymnosomata sp. USNM IZ 1448338. RNAcentral's name for it is "SSU rRNA". It matches the Rfam family "Eukaryotic small subunit ribosomal RNA", at positions 51 to 414 of the family's 1831-position model. RNAcentral also lists the same sequence under 1 other name. The record is from RNAcentral. Lineage: Eukaryota; Metazoa; Mollusca; Gastropoda; Pteropoda.
AUGCAUGUCUAAGUUCACACUGUCUCACGGUGAAACCGCGAACGGCUCAUUAAAUCAGUCGAGGUUCCUUAGAUGACACGAUCCUACUUGGAUAACUGUGGCAAUUCUAGAGCUAAUACAUGCUUAUGAAGCUCCGACCCUCGUGGAAAGAGCGCUUUUAUUAGUUCAAAACCAAUCGCGGGCUCGCUCGCGUCCCCAUUGGUGACUCUGGAUAACUUUGUGCUGAUCGCAUGGCCUUCGUGCUGGCGACGCAUCUUUCAAAUGUCUGCCCUAUCAAAUGUCGAUGGUACGUGAUAUGCCUACCAUGUUUGUAACGGGUAACGGGGAAUCAGGGUUCGAUUCCGGAGAGGGAGCAUGAGAAACGGCUACCACA